UACAGGUAUAAUUUAUAAUAAAUAAACUUAAAUUACGUAUUAUUCUUAAUACCUCCCUGUAAUUAAGCCACCGUGUGCAUAAGCAGUGGAACCACACCAUGCAGCUGAAAGUCCUCUUCUAAAAGACUGGUGACAUGUGGGCACCUUGGCAUUCUCAACACAUGCGCCCUGAAGUUGACGUUGGCGGUCGACUCUAACAACUGCACAGCUUUCGUCUGGUCUUCUGAAGCACGUAUUUAGGGAACAGAGAGUGAAGUUCCCUAAGAUCGAAAGGAAGGAUCUUUAAACCAGUCACCGGCUGGCAAGCUACUGCCCAACAGUUGUUCUUUGGGAUUCUCUACACAGUCAUGUUUAUUCGCACUCAAAGUUCACUUGCGAUGCGUAGGAUAAUGGGACGUCAUCUGUCGAUUUGUCGUUAAAUCUGCGAUGUGCGUUGCCAACCUACGAUGUCCUCUCUGGUAGUGUAGGCAGGAGAUAUUCAACAGUUAGAUAUUAGGCUCCACUGAAGCGGUGACACGAUGGUUCUUGUUGACAUCUUGACGGUGCUUCCUUCCUUGCACUAUCACAUAGCCAUUUUCGUCAGCCUUAGUCAUUUCCUUCUUAUGAACGUGCUUCUUUAUGAGAGCACUGAAAACGCUUGCCACCAUGCGCGCGCGGACUUGUCAGCUGUAGUACGCCGUGUUUGUGGUGCCGCCAUACGAAAUUACAGGACAUAGGAGCAGCUUAGUCUCUACCAUAGCAACUUUAGUGAAAUCCAUUGAGCUCAUCAUGUCUAUCACAUCACUCGCAGCAGCAGAAUUGGAACAGCAGAUCUCCGCUGCGUUUGCAACCAAGUUGUGAGUAGGACGGCGAAAAGGUGUCGAAAUGUCGAACACUGCGCUGUGCAAGCUCUGAGGGUCUCACUCAUACAUACUAUGACGCCGUAGUUUCACUCCGAUUGAGCCAGUCCACUUCUGCCAAAACAGUCCUGACGGUGCGUACGUUAGGCUGCGCAGAUCUCCAACAAGCAGGCUGCGCCACACGUCUCAUGUUGUUUCGUGAAACUGCUCUUCUUCUUUCAGCUUUUCUAUAUUAAUGGGCAUAAUAAAACCCUGUGGCCUGUGGCCUGUGGCAGUUUUACGACGAGUGUUUCCCGUGAUGAUGGUGACGGUCGUCAUUGACGUACAAUAGCGGUGCCAAGUUUUCAGCAAUUUCUUUCUUCAGACAGUCGAUUGUUAGCUCUCUGAUGGCCACACAGUCUGUGAACUUCUUCUGCAGAAUGGCUUGACAAUGUAUUGUUGGAUAUCAGAUGGUGCCAAGCACGACAUUGGUCAGUUUUCAAUGAAACCCUCUUCAUAAACUUGUCUUCACCACUCUGGUACUGCCUAGCCAGGGAAUACUAUACAACGAUCAAUUAUGCUACCUUAGGCCUACCUUUAAAAAAUCAAAAUAGAACUAAUUUGAUUUUUUCCCAUUCUCUGCUAUUUUUGGGCCCGAUAGUUUUAUGAUUUUUGUAUUUUCGUCUUCGUUUCACGUUAGUCACGUAUCAAUAAUGAUAAAAUUGAAGUAUUUGCACAGAUAGCUAGCUAACAGGCUGACAUCAAGCCGUUUUGCCUUGUAGAUAAGCAGCGACUAGGGCAUAUAAGAGUCUGAUAAAAAUGGGUGCGAUAUUACUGGUGAUGUCGAUCCCGACUGAAACGGUACGAGUGUCACGAUUGCAUCAUAAUUACAUCAUCAUAAUAUUAUAUUGUUUCAAAAAUUUCGUAUUCAAAUCAAAUUUAGUUAAAAGUUAGUAAUUAGUUAGCUGUGCGACUUCAAAUGUUACUUUUUUAUUCCAAAAUAUUGUGUUUUAAAGUGUUAAAUCAGUGCAAAAGUUGUACCAUAUGCUGCGUUUUUCAACUCAUUUUUUAGUGAUAUUCCAUCAAAAAUCUUUGAAGAAAGUGGUUUAUUGUGUUUUGUGCUUAUAUUUCAAUGAAAUAAAAUAGAUUUCAUGCAAAAUAAACGUAAUAUCGAAAUGUUUUAAACACGUGGCGUGACCGUGAUGCAUUGACGAAUUUCAGCCGGGGUUGCGGACAACCUUGCGAGUUACCGGGGCUGCAAGCUGCCAAGCAGGAGUAGGAACGGGGUGGAUUUAGUCAGUAAGAGUCUGAGACUCUCUCUCAUCUCGCUCAAGAUGUCUUCACGUGACGUCGUGGCAGACGAAUGGGUCCUAAAGUCGAGGCGCGGUGGAGACCUGGCAAACGCGAGGAAGGGGUUUCUCAGCUAGGUGGAGUAACGACAUCCGCUGUACAACUGGCAAUGGUUGGAUGCGAAGAGCUUACUCAUCCAUAGCUCAUGAAGUCAUGUCGUUCCAUUUCUGGAGCAUGAACCUUCUCCACAUAUGAGGGGUUUGCUCUUUGCAAGCGAGUAGAAUAGAAAUCGCAGUUUAAAAGAUUAAGAUUUAUCAGGGAGCGCUGCUUGUCGUUUCUAUGAAAUGUGUAGUCUUUUAGUCGGGUAUACGACACCCGCGGGAAGAGUAGGGGUGGAUGACAAAUGUAUUUUUGUUUUUUUUUAAGU
This is a long non-coding RNA of Spodoptera litura, 2535 nucleotides long. RefSeq lists it as uncharacterized. Lineage: Eukaryota; Metazoa; Arthropoda; Insecta; Lepidoptera; Noctuidae. The record is from RefSeq and is a predicted model, not a curated record.